UCAACGUCCAACCGCCGCCGUGUAAGCAUUGCACUGCUCCGUAAUACUUACGUACGCACGCGAUUAUUCCGUCGUCACGGCUUUAUCGGUUUCUUUUGAAUUGAGACUAAAUUAUCUGUCCAUAUGGUUCAUCUCGUAGAUAUAUUUCGUUCGGCGAACGUUGAAUAUCCGCCGCCGAUUAUUAGAAUGGUGUAUUUAAACUAUGUAAAUAAUUGCAUAGUGGUGGAUUAAUUUAAGAUACUUAAUCAAGUUUAUAAACUGUUUACGUGCACAUGUUGGACUUUUUAAUACAAUCGUGUGUUUGUAAUUAGGGACUUUAUUGUUAUUUAAUAUUUGUUUUUUGAUUUCUUUUGUAAUUUAAAAUUCUGAGAAUCACUGACUAGGUAAUCGUUCUCAUUUGUAUAAUUUUAUGAGUUUGUAACAGAUUUUAUUUAAUAAAUUGUUUUCCUUA
Pieris napi is the source of this 451-nucleotide long non-coding RNA. RefSeq lists it as uncharacterized. Lineage: Eukaryota; Metazoa; Arthropoda; Insecta; Lepidoptera; Pieridae. The transcript is spliced from 2 exons. The record is from RefSeq and is a predicted model, not a curated record.